GAUGAAGAACGUAGUGAAAUGCGAUAAGUAAUGUGAAUUGCAGAAUUCAGUGAAUCAUCGGAUCUUUGAACGCACAUUGCGCCCCCUGGUAUUCCGGGGGGCAUGCCUGUCCGAGCGUCAUUACAACCCUCAAGCUCAGCUUGGUGUUGGGCCCCGCCGCCCCGGCGGGCCCUAAAGUCAGUGGCGGUGCCGUCCGGCUCCGAGCGUAGUAAUUCUUCUCGCUCUGGAGGUCCGGUCGUGUGCUCGCCAGCAACCCCCAAUUUUUUUCAGGUUGACCUCGGAUCAGGUAGGGAUACCCGCUGAACUUAAGCAUAUCAAAAGCGGAGGA
Molecule: unclassified non-coding RNA, 328 nt
Filed under: soil metagenome
Description: partial contains 5.8S ribosomal RNA, internal transcribed spacer 2, and large subunit ribosomal RNA
Rfam family: 5.8S ribosomal RNA (bases 1-120)
Source: RNAcentral